GGGGGGGGGCCUAUACUGCAAGUCGAGCGAUGGAUUAAGAGCUUGCUCUUAUGAAGUUAGCGGCGGACGGGUGAGUAACACGUGGGUAACCUGCCCAUAAGACUGGGAUAACUCCGGGAAACCGGGGCUAAUACCGGAUAACAUUUUGAACCGCAUGGUUCGAAAUUGAAAGGCGGCUUCGGCUGUCACUUAUGGAUGGACCCGCGUCGCAUUAGCUAGUUGGUGAGGUAACGGCUCACCAAGGCAACGAUGCGUAGCCGACCUGAGAGGGUGAUCGGCCACACUGGGACUGAGACACGGCCCAGACUCCUACGGGAGGCAGCAGUAGGGAAUCUUCCGCAAUGGACGAAAGUCUGACGGAGCAACGCCGCGUGAGUGAUGAAGGCUUUCGGGUCGUAAAACUCUGUUGUUAGGGAAGAACAAGUGCUAGUUGAAUAAGCUGGCACCUUGACGGUACCUAACCAGAAAGCCACGGCUAACUACGUGCCAGCAGCCGCGGUAAUACGUAGGUGGCAAGCGUUAUCCGGAAUUAUUGGGCGUAAAGCGCGCGCAGGUGGUUUCUUAAGUCUGAUGUGAAAGCCCACGGCUCAACCGUGGAGGGUCAUUGGAAACUGGGAGACUUGAGUGCAGAAGAGGAAAGUGGAAUUCCAUGUGUAGCGGUGAAAUGCGUAGAGAUAUGGAGGAACACCAGUGGCGAAGGCGACUUUCUGGUCUGUAACUGACACUGAGGCGCGAAAGCGUGGGGAGCAAACAGGAUUAGAUACCUUGGUAGUCC
RNAcentral lists this ribosomal RNA (775 nucleotides) under Bacillus cereus. RNAcentral's name for it is "bacterial SSU rRNA". It matches the Rfam family "Bacterial small subunit ribosomal RNA", at positions 38 to 796 of the family's 1533-position model. The record is from RNAcentral. Lineage: Bacteria; Bacillati; Bacillota; Bacilli; Caryophanales; Bacillaceae.